This 488-nucleotide long non-coding RNA is filed under the name Homo sapiens (human). RNAcentral's name for it is "non-protein coding lnc-USP48-5:1". Lineage: Eukaryota; Metazoa; Chordata; Mammalia; Primates; Hominidae. The record is from RNAcentral.
AGGUGAGGAAGGGUGAUGGUUUGGAGUAAGUUGCAGGUAACAGCUGUUUGCCACGGUCCUCGCAGCCUCUGGAGAUCUGGACAGGGCCCCAGCAGCACUGUGACAGGGCUGUCGGGAGGACUAAUAAGACCCUGCCAGUGGAGGACUCCAGGCGUGCCUGGCACAGAGCCAGCACUCCUAUUCACGCUGGGUCUUGUCACGCCCAGGGUCUCUGGCAUCAGCAUGGACGUGGCUGUGCCCGAGGAAACCGGCCAGGACCCCGCGCUGGAAGUGGAACAGUGCUCCUGCCCACCCGGGUACCGUGGGCCGUCCUGCCAGGACUGUGACACAGGCUACACACGCACGCCCAGUGGCCUCUACCUGGGUACCUGUGAACGCUGCAGCUGCCAUGGCCACUCAGAGGCCUGCGAGCCAGAAACAGGUGCCUGCCAGGGCUGCCAGCAUCACACGGAGGGCCCUCGGUGUGAGCAGUGCCAGCCAGGAUACUA